This 492-nucleotide ribosomal RNA is filed under the name uncultured bacterium. Its description in RNAcentral is "partial 16S ribosomal RNA". It matches the Rfam family "Bacterial small subunit ribosomal RNA", at positions 29 to 507 of the family's 1533-position model. The record is from RNAcentral.
AGUGAACGCUGGCGGUAGGCCUAACACAUGCAAGUCGAACGGCAGCACAGUAAGAGCUUGCUCUUACGGGUGGCGAGUGACGGACGGGUGAGGAAUACAUCGGAAUCUACUUUUUCGUGGGGGAUAACGUAGGGAAACUUACGCUAAUACCGCAUACGACCUACGGGUGAAAGCAGGGGAUCUUCGGACCUUGCGCGAUUGAAUGAGCCGAUGUCGGAUUAGCUAGUUGGCGGGGUAAAGGCCCACCAAGGCGACGAUCCGUAGCUGGUCUGAGAGGAUGAUCAGCCACACUGGAACUGAGACACGGUCCAGACUCCUACGGGAGGCAGCAGUGGGGAAUAUUGGACAAUGGGCGCAAGCCUGAUCCAGCCAUACCGCGUGAGUGAAGAAGGCCUUCGGGUUGUAAAGCCCUUUUGUUGGGAAAGAAAAGCAGCAGGUUAAUACCCCGCUGUUCUGACGGUACCCAAAGAAUAAGCACCGGCUAACUUCGUG